CAACUUUCAACAACGGAUCUCUUGGUUCUGGCAUCGAUGAAGAACGCAGCGAAAUGCGAUACGUAGUGUGAAUUGCAGAAUUCAGUGAAUCAUCGAAUCUUUGAACGCACACUGCGCCCUUUGGUAUUCCAAAGGGCAUGCCUGUUCGAGCGUCAUUU
This 158-nucleotide ribosomal RNA is filed under the name uncultured Ascomycota. RNAcentral describes it as "5.8S ribosomal RNA". It matches the Rfam family "5.8S ribosomal RNA". From Rfam's summary of the family: 5.8S ribosomal RNA (5.8S rRNA) is a component of the large subunit of the eukaryotic ribosome. It is transcribed by RNA polymerase I as part of the 45S precursor that also contains 18S and 28S rRNA. Functionally, it is thought that 5.8S rRNA may be involved in ribosome translocation. Lineage: Eukaryota; Fungi; Ascomycota. The record is from RNAcentral.